UACGUAGGGGGCAAGCGUUGUCCGGAAUCAUUGGGCGUAAAGGGCUCGUAGGCGGCCAACUAAGUCAGACGUGAAAUCCCUCGGCUUAACCGGGGAACUGCGUCUGAUACUGGAUGGCUUGAGUUUGGGAGAGGGAUGCGGAAUUCCAGGUGUAGCGGUGAAAUGCGUAGAUAUCUGGAGGAACACCGGUGGCGAAGGCGGCAUCCUGGACCAACACUGACGCUGAGUGAGCGAAAGCCAGGGGAGCAAACGGG
Molecule: ribosomal RNA, 254 nt
Filed under: uncultured bacterium
Lineage: Bacteria
Description: partial 16S ribosomal RNA
Rfam family: Bacterial small subunit ribosomal RNA
Source: RNAcentral